GGUCUCAGCGUGGCCGUUACAUGCGCAUGCGCAUAACCUGGUGUCCUGUGGCAGACUGUCAGCACCAUGAGCGGUGGGACUGAGAGAGCAAAUAAAACAUACCCAGAUUAACCAAGUGGGACGGGGUACAAACACGGUACAGAGGCAGGGCAGACCGGGCCGGAUACUGCAUGGAGAACCGCUGAUCUGAAGCUAACGGAGCUAACAGGCAGUAGACUGUCGGCUGUUAUCUAACGGGGCUAACGGACAGGCCACCGCACCGCACACACCUGUUCUGACACGGGAUAGCUUUAGGAACCCCCGAAUCACAUCCAGUCAGACUGUCUCCCAGUGUCACCACCGGUUUCCGGUGAAGUUCAGGCAGCUAACGUGCUAACUGUCAGUACCGUCACGCCACCCAGGAUAGUCCACUCUGACCCGGUUCGGUUUGAGGACCGGGGACCAGGAUGUUGAUAGCAGUCGGUGCUGGAACCGGAAACUCUGCCACCACUGGCAAGAAACACCGGAGGAGAGGCAAGAAGCACCGGAGAGUCCGAAGAGACGAGAACCG
Molecule: long non-coding RNA, 550 nt
Organism: Monopterus albus (swamp eel)
Lineage: Eukaryota; Metazoa; Chordata; Actinopteri; Synbranchiformes; Synbranchidae
Exons: 2
Source: RefSeq, a predicted model, not a curated record